GAUGAACGCUAGCGGGAGGCCUAACACAUGCAAGCCGAGCGGUAGAGUUUCUUCGGAAACUUGAGAGCGGCGCACGGGUGCGUAACACGUGUGCAACCUACCUUUAUCUGGGGGAUAGCCUUUCGAAAGGAAGAUUAAUACCCCAUAAUAUAAUGAUUGGCAUCAAUUAUUAUUGAAAACUCCGGUGGAUAGAGAUGGGCACGCGCAUGAUUAGAUAGUUGGUGAGGUAACGGCUCACCAAGUCAAUGAUCUUUAGGGGUCCUGAGAGGGAGAUCCCCCACACUGGUACUGAGACACGGACCAGACUCCUACGGGAGGCAGCAGUGAGGAAUAUUGGACAAUGGGUGAGAGCCUGAUCCAGCCAUCCCGCGUGAAGGAUGACGGUCCUAUGGAUGGUAAACUUCUUUUGUACAGGGAUAAACCUACUCUCGUGAGGGUAGCUGAAGGUACUGUACGAAUAAGCACCGGCUAACUCCGUG
Molecule: ribosomal RNA, 479 nt
Filed under: uncultured bacterium
Lineage: Bacteria
Description: partial 16S ribosomal RNA
Rfam family: Bacterial small subunit ribosomal RNA
Source: RNAcentral